UACGUAGGGGGCAAGCGUUGUCCGGAUUUAUUGGGCGUAAAGAGCGUGUAGGCGGCCAAGCAGGUCCGCUGUGAAAACUCGAGGCUCAACCUCGAGACGUCGGUGGAAACCGUUUGGCUAGAGUCCGGAAGAGGAGAGUGGAAUUCCCGGUGUAGCGGUGAGAUGCGCAGAUAUCGGGAAGAACACCCGUGGCGAAGGCGGCUCUCUGGGACGGUACUGACGCUGAGACGCGAAAGCGUGGGGAGCGAACAGG
RNAcentral lists this ribosomal RNA (253 nucleotides) under uncultured bacterium. RNAcentral describes it as "partial 16S ribosomal RNA". It matches the Rfam family "Bacterial small subunit ribosomal RNA", at positions 524 to 776 of the family's 1533-position model. The record is from RNAcentral.